This 399-nucleotide ribosomal RNA is filed under the name Bacillus sp. 060-3.2-LH-A-01. Its description in RNAcentral is "bacterial SSU rRNA". It matches the Rfam family "Bacterial small subunit ribosomal RNA", at positions 75 to 469 of the family's 1533-position model. Lineage: Bacteria; Bacillati; Bacillota; Bacilli; Caryophanales; Bacillaceae. The record is from RNAcentral.
UUGCUCCAGCAGGUUAACGGCGGACGGCUGAGUAACACGUGGGCAACCUGCCUGUAAGACUGGGAUAACUCCGGGAAACCGGAGCUAAUACCGGAUAGUAUCUUGAACCGCAUGGUUCAAGCUGGAAAGACGGUUUCGGCUGUCACUUACAGAUGGGCCCUGCGGCGCAUUAGCUAGUUGGUGAGGUAAUGGCUCACCAAGGCAACGAUGCGUAGCCGACCUGAGAGGGUGAUCGGCCACACUGGGACUGAGACACGGCCCAGACUCCUACGGGAGGCAGCAGUAGGGAAUCUUCCGCAAUGGACGAAAGUCUGACGGAGCAACGCCGCGUGAGUGAUGAAAGUUUUCCGAUCGUAACAACUCUGUUGUUAGGGAAGAACAAGUGCGAGAGUACUGCUC